This is a long non-coding RNA of Etheostoma spectabile (orangethroat darter), 99 nucleotides long. RefSeq lists it as uncharacterized. Lineage: Eukaryota; Metazoa; Chordata; Actinopteri; Perciformes; Percidae. The record is from RefSeq and is a predicted model, not a curated record. The transcript has 3 exons.
GUAGGGCGUUUUAGGGUCGGGUGAAGCCGGGUAACUGAAAUAAAUCCAGCGCAUGUUGAUCUGGAUUCAUAGUGCAGGCCUCGGCACCACGAAACAGGA